UUAUAUUUUUUAUUUAAAUUAUUGAUUAAUUUUUUCGCUGUGAAGCAUUGAUAUCGUGAUAAGAUGCCUUGCAUGCUUAUGGGAAGAGUUUCCUAUGAGUAUGCGGCGGUUGCCAUGAUCCUCGAUUCAUAAUCUCGGAUCGGAGACGUGACAAUUAAAGUGGUAUCAGAGCAUUAGUAGAUGAACUAAGAUAUGUAUAGAAUGAGUGUCAGUGGAUAGACACUGGAGACAUUAUGGUA
This 239-nucleotide long non-coding RNA is filed under the name Elaeis guineensis (African oil palm). Its description in RNAcentral is "long non-coding RNA (EGUI_LNC081862)". The record is from RNAcentral. Lineage: Eukaryota; Viridiplantae; Streptophyta; Magnoliopsida; Arecales; Arecaceae.